This 69-nucleotide transfer RNA is filed under the name Rattus norvegicus (Norway rat). It matches the Rfam family "tRNA". From Rfam's summary of the family: Transfer RNA (tRNA) molecules are approximately 80 nucleotides in length. Their secondary structure includes four short double-helical elements and three loops (D, anti-codon, and T loops). Lineage: Eukaryota; Metazoa; Chordata; Mammalia; Rodentia; Muridae. The record is from Rfam by way of RNAcentral.
GGGGAUUUAGCUCAGCGGUAGAGCGCUUGCCUAGCGAGCGCAAGGCCCUGGGUUCGAUCCCCAGCUCUG